RNAcentral lists this long non-coding RNA (401 nucleotides) under Physcomitrium patens. RNAcentral's name for it is "long non-coding RNA (PPAT_LNC005351)". Lineage: Eukaryota; Viridiplantae; Streptophyta; Bryopsida; Funariales; Funariaceae. The record is from RNAcentral.
AUUACUAAUCUCAUGAUAUCAUUAAUGCUUAUUAGCAGCUAUAAAAGCACCAUUCUUAAUCACAAUUCUUGGCAUGGAUAUAUUCCAAAUUACUACAUUCUAGGACCUUUUAAAAUCUUUUGUAAAUUUUUAGAACCUUCUAGAUACUUGUAGAAUCUUUUAAAAUCUUUUAGAAAGUUCCAUAGGCUUCUAGAAGUCCCUUUAGACUUCUAAAAGCUUCUUUAGAUAUUUAGAAACUUCCAUAGAAAGUACCAUAGACCUCUAUAAUCUUCAUCAUAGUAUAAAUAGAAGUCUUUUGAACUUCUUUUGCUAUCAAUUUCAUUCUUUGUCUUUAAUCUUGAUAUAUUUAUUUGUGAGAUAUUUUUGUCCUUAACAAUUCCUUAAACAACUAUAAGAUCCAU